AUGAAACCAACUAUGCAGACAAAACAGCAAAACUUUCUGUUUGGGGAAACACAUCCUUUGCCGGGGAGCCCUGCCCGGGGCUGGGGCUCCAGCGGUGCCCGGCCGGGCUGGCUCUGCAAGCUCAGGGCAUGCAAAGCAUUAACAGUUUUGGCCAGAAAUGGUGAGAAGAAAAAGCAUGAAGAAGCCGCGAAGUGGAGGAGAAAAGGUGAAGGGAGAUGCAGCUCCUGGAGAAAUUGUAAAAAGCCUUGCAAAGAGUUGUCGGAAGGACCGUUAUUCCUGCUGGGCAGGUUAGGACUGAUCUCUUUCUGCCACUCCAGGAAACACAAACCUGGGGACGGACUGACGUGUUACGCCUCUUCUAAUGACAUUUUUUUCUUUUUCUUUUCUGUACGAGCGAGAGGAGAGACCCUGCAACACACGCCACCUAUCUUUGUGGGGAGGGAUAAUUGGAGAGCACCAAACAUAUGGAUCAGGGGUGAGAUGGGCUCUUUUCCUGGCUCUGCUUUUUCUUGGAAGUAGCUGGAUGAGCAGAGAGAGACAGCGUGGACGAGUAACGCGUGGGGCUGAACUUCAGGGAGGUUACAAGUUUUUCACUUUUUUCAAGUAUUAAAAUUAAAAUAAAAUUGCAUAUAGAAAAAAAAAAAAAAAAAGA
Molecule: long non-coding RNA, 652 nt
Filed under: Serinus canaria (Common canary)
Lineage: Eukaryota; Metazoa; Chordata; Aves; Passeriformes; Fringillidae
Description: lncRNA (ENSSCAG00000008285.1)
Source: RNAcentral